Pongo abelii (Sumatran orangutan) is the source of this 104-nucleotide small nucleolar RNA. The record is from Ensembl. Lineage: Eukaryota; Metazoa; Chordata; Mammalia; Primates; Hominidae.
AUCCUUUUGUAGUUAAGAAGCGUGACGAUUGGGUUUUCGUGCUCAUGUGUGAGAAGUGCCUCCCUCAAACCUUGUUAUGAAGUCAGCAUAUUACUGGUCUUUUU